AGUGAACGCUGGCGGCAGGCCUAACACAUGCAAGUCGAGCGGCAGCGCGUCCGACCACCCUCGGGUGGUCGGAUGGCGGCGAGCGGCGGACGGGUGAGGAAUGCAUCGGAAUCUGCCUCGUUGUGGGGGAUAACGUAGGGAAACUUACGCUAAUACCGCAUACGACCUACGGGUGAAAGUGGGGGACCUUCGGGCCGUCACGCGAUGAGAUGAGCCGAUGCCGGAUUAGCUAGUUGGCGGGGUAAAGGCCCGACCAAGGCGACGAUCCGUAGCUGGUCUGAGAGGAUGAUCAGCCACACUGGAACUGAGACACGGUCCAGACUCCUACGGGAGGCAGCAGUGGGGAAUCUUGCGCAAUGGGCGAAAGCCUGACGCAGCGACGCCGCGUGGGUGAUGAAGGCCUUCGGGUCGUAAAGACUCUGUGGGGAGAGACGAAUAAGACGUGGC
This 447-nucleotide ribosomal RNA is filed under the name uncultured bacterium. RNAcentral's name for it is "bacterial SSU rRNA". It matches the Rfam family "Bacterial small subunit ribosomal RNA", at positions 30 to 460 of the family's 1533-position model. The record is from RNAcentral.